AAUACCAACAAUAUGGGUAACGGGCCCACUUUGUCUGGAAAAGAAUAAUCUCCGCACUACGCAAAGGAACACACAAAAUUCUCAGGCCAGGCACAGUGUCACGCGCUCGUCCUGCUGCCUUUGGAUUUAGAUAUGAAACUGUCAGCACCAUGUCUGCCUGCGUGCCGCCAUGCUUCCCGCCACGAUGACGCUGGACUGAACCUCUGAACUAUGCUUCUUCUCAUGAUGUAUCUGGAUUUAAUCAUAUGCACACUCAAUUAUGCAUAAGCAUAGUAAGGUACUUAGAAGAAGAAGUUUACUUUAUGGUAUAUGUACUACAAACCAGACUAGGUUGUAUCAGCACAUUUCCCAUGGUUCCAAGUUUAUUAGAGGAAGUGCUGGGAAGGAAACAGAUAUUAACAGGAGGUUGCUAAGAAAGAUCUAUGUACUCAAGCCAAGUCAGCAUGGAAUGAAGACCUUCUCAAUGUUAACUUCAAAGCAACCAGAUUUCCAGAAGAAAAAUCUCUACAUUCUGUACGAAACUUCCUCAUUUCUGAAGCUUCCUGGGCACAAUUUUUCUCCUGUUGACAGGGCCCAGCCUGGACCACUCGAAGGCCAGCAGAGAACUUCUCAGUCAAGUCAGGUUGAGUCACAGCCCCACGUAAAGUCUGCUGAGGUCACUGUAGCAGAGCCAGAACAGUUGAAUUGUAUAAGCCACAGAAUUUUAUAUCAGCGCUACUGUGAGGGGAAGCCUAGAUCAAGUCUUACGCACUGAGAAAGGAUGUCAUAUCUGGGCAUUGCCCUUCUCCUUUAGGAGGGCCCGUGUGCCUUUUGUAGGCCCAGGACAUGAGGUCAGGAUGGGAAACGACACAAAAGGACGGCUAGCUGCAAGGCCUCAUGGGAGAAGGAGCAGCGUGAGGAGACCCGGAUGCAGAGCAGCUGUCUCCAGAGCAAUUACAAUUUAGAGGAGAUUGAGAGACCAGGAAAUGAAUCCAAAGGCCAGAAAAUCAAAGCGAAAAGGCAAUGACAUUUCCAGGAAGGACAACGAUACAAGAGGAAGAUUUGGAAUAUCCCAUGCAAAGAUCUCAGUACUCUGGUUGCCUGUUGCUAGUGUUUGGAUGGGGUUUAUGCCCCGAUGAUUUAUUCAUCGACUGCUUGGUUGUUAGUGUGACAAUACUAAGAAGCGACAGACCCUUAGGAGACAGAGCCCGCAGCAAGGUAAUUAGGCCAUCAGGGAACCGAUGCUGUUCUCAUGGAGUGAGUCCUUUCCAGGGAGGUUUGCUUUCUACCCUGCCCUGGGAUUUCUUCCUCUUGCACGUCCUUCUGCCGUGAUAUCAUCUACCAUAACGUGAUGCUGUAGGAGCUCUUGCCACAAU
RNAcentral lists this long non-coding RNA (1355 nucleotides) under Rattus norvegicus (Norway rat). RNAcentral's name for it is "long non-coding RNA NONRATT011548". The record is from RNAcentral. Lineage: Eukaryota; Metazoa; Chordata; Mammalia; Rodentia; Muridae.